UAUAUAAUAGUUUAUAAUAUUAAAACUUUAAAUUGCAAAUUUAAAAAAGUAUAUCUUUAUACUUAAAUAU
RNAcentral lists this transfer RNA (70 nucleotides) under Dolichoris vasculosae. Its description in RNAcentral is "tRNA-Cys". Lineage: Eukaryota; Metazoa; Arthropoda; Insecta; Hymenoptera; Agaonidae. The record is from RNAcentral.